Molecule: long non-coding RNA, 2012 nt
Organism: Panthera uncia (snow leopard)
Lineage: Eukaryota; Metazoa; Chordata; Mammalia; Carnivora; Felidae
Exons: 3
Source: RefSeq, a predicted model, not a curated record
AAUAGUUCCACAAAUGUGAGUGAUUUCUUACACGGGAAUGUUAUAUAAUAUAAAAUAACUAGUCCAUUAAUGAAAAAGUCACCGUAGUUUAAAUAUAAUCAUCACAUUUUUCAGAUUUUACAGACUCCAGCAAUCCAGAAGGGGUUCCCAGCCACUGAUAGGAUGAUAAUGCAGUAAUAAAGAUGAUUAUGUUCUCAUUGUUUACACAAAAAGAAAUGUAAAUUACCUAAGACAAAGUGAAAUUACCUUGAAAAUACUGUCAGUUUCUAGAACCAGUUUGCUACCUACUGUUCUUUACUGAAUUUUCUAAAGAGGUAGAAGUGUUCAGCUCUCACAGAAGCCUGAUCAAUGAGGAAGUCUUUGUUAGGCACCUGUAAACUUCCCUAACAUGGUAUUUUCUCGUUUACGGUUCCCCGAAACUUUCUGAGGGUGUUUCCUAAACUCAGGAAAGGUUUGAUUGUGUUGAUUUGUAAUUGCCAAGGCUGUUUUCUAUAUGCCAGGACAGCUGUUAAGAACUGAAAAAUUGUGUGAGCCAAAUGUUCUCUGAAUUAUUCAUGUGUCAUUCAUUCAUUUAUUCAACAAAUAUUUUUUCAGCACUAUGCUGCCCAGGCCUUGAGUAAGGCACCCGUGGACCCUUCCUUUAAUCUUCACAGCAACACUGCAAGACGGGUCAGCACCAUAAAGUCAUAUUUGCAGCAGACAAUAUACUACUUUUUAUUGCAUCCACACACUGCCCUUACUAUUGAGAUCUUCAAGGGAGCUGGAGUGGGUUUUUGGCUAAUACACAGACCAUUCUAUCUAACACUGGAGCAACCAAUGGAGAAGACUGAGGACCAGGUGUCCUACCUGUCUUAGGGGAAAAAGGAUCAAUUUUGAUUAAGAUCACUAUCAUUUGUCUUCAGAGGGACCCGGAACUUUACAUCCAACCUGAAAAGCCAGAAUGCCUCAAGCCAUAGUAGCCAACAGUCCCCUCCUCGACAGGAACACCUGUGAUGUCCAGUUCCGUUAUAGGCUAAUACCAGGCAAAUUACUGGCAUCACCAGUCUGAACGACAAACUCAAGCAACAGAAGACAAGUACCUUGGCACAGGUGGCUUCUUCCCUGGCAGGGGGCUACUUCUGUCAUGCCUUUCGGUGGCUGGUGGUAAAGGAGGCUUUUGCAUCUUGGGUAAGUGCUCCCCGAGAGGCCUGCAGAGUUGAGAGAAAGGAGGUGUGGGUAAGAAACUGAACUAUUUCUACAGCAUAUACCGUGUACCCUCACAUGGAUGCAACAAGGCACCUUACCUUCCCACUGGAGCCGAGGGCUGUAAAACAGGAGGGAAGACAUGUGAGUGUCCUCAGUACUUCUCAGAACAAAGACAAGAUACAAAAUAAAACAAAAAUGAAGACAAAACAAAAUAGGGAAACAGCUUACCUUGUCAGGAAACGCUGGCUUCUUUCCUGUAAGUAACAAAUAGCAGGCAGACCUUGAAUACUUUAUCAGCUAAGCAUGAAGUAUUAAAACAUAGUCUGGGCGGUGGGGGCAGGGGCUCCGGGAUGGCUCAGUCAGUUGAGUGUCCAACUUCAGCUCAGGCCAUGAUCUCACUGUGUGUGGGUUUGAGCCCCACAUUGGGCUCUGCACUGACAGCACGGAGCCUGCUUCAGAUUCUCUAUCUCCCUCUCUCUGCCGCUCCCUCCCUCACGCUAUCUCUCUCUCUCAGAAAUAAACAUUAAAACACAGUUUGAUGAAACCAUAAAUACGAGCGCCUGAGGGGGCUGAUUGGGUUUAAGCAUUGAAGAAUCAUAGACUUUCAACCUGGAAGAUCCCGAUAUAGAACAGCUAAUUUUACAGGCUUAGAGAAAUUAAGGGACUUGCCCAAGAUCACACAGAGUUGUGUACAUACAAACAGUAUUUUGGAUUCUGUGAUUCUUUUCAACAUUUUAUUUUAUGUAACCGAUGAUAAGAAGGAUUAAUGUCUCUUGGGGAUUUUAUGCUUCUUUCACUGACUAAAUGUUUUGUUUUGUUUUGUUUUG